CUUUACCUAGCGGCGGACGGGUGAGUAAUACUUAGGAAUCUGCCUAUUAAUGGGGGACAACAUCUCGAAAGGGAUGCUAAUACCGCAUACGCCCUACGGGGGAAAGCAGGGGAUCACUUGUGACCUUGCGUUAAUAGAUGAGCCUAAGUCGGAUUAGCUAGUAGGUGGGGUAAUGGCUCACCUAGGCGACGAUCCCUAGCUGGUCUGAGAGGAUGACCAGCCACACUGGAACUGAGACACGGUCCAGACUCCUACGGGAGGCAGCAGUGGGGAAUAUUGGACAAUGGGGGGAACCCUGAUCCAGCCAUGCCGCGUGUGUGAAGAAGGCCUUAUGGUUGUAAAGCACUUUAAGCGAGGAGGAGGCUACCUAGAUUAAUACUCUAGGAUAGUGGACGUUACUCGCAGAAUAAGCACCGGCUAACUCUGUGCCAGCAGCCGCGGUAAUACAGAGGGUGCGAGCGUUAAUCGGAUUUACUGGGCGUAAAGCGUGCGUAGGUGGCUAAUUAAGUCAAAUGUGAAAUCCCCGAGCUUAACUUGGGA
This 540-nucleotide ribosomal RNA is filed under the name uncultured Acinetobacter sp. RNAcentral's name for it is "bacterial SSU rRNA". It matches the Rfam family "Bacterial small subunit ribosomal RNA", at positions 86 to 619 of the family's 1533-position model. The record is from RNAcentral. Lineage: Bacteria; Pseudomonadati; Pseudomonadota; Gammaproteobacteria; Moraxellales; Moraxellaceae.